CCGGCGGAGGAAAGGGUCGAAAAGCCCGUCUGCGCCCUUUCCGGGGUGGGCGCGGGCGCACGGGGGCUCGUGCGCCCUCCCCCGAGGAAGCGGGUGGGAGGGCUGGAGGGCAGCGCAGGGACCCCCAGACCCGGACUGUUUUAGGAAGGAGAGCCAAGGAAAACCACACUUUCCUGGGGAUAAAAGGCCGGGGAAGCGACUGGUCGGAGUGACAAAGUGGGCCCUGUGGACUUUCUUCACAAGUUUUAUCAUCGCUUUGGGGAGAGAAAAAUGGAGUCUGUGAAAGGUUUUAUGAAUUAAAAGUUGAUGGUUUGGACGAGGCUGAGGUAAUGUCUGUAAUAUAAUAUACAAUUCUAGAAGAGCUUCCUUUAUAACAUAAGGGUAUAUUAAAGAACACCACAAGUGAUAAAUAAAAUCGAGGUUUUCUGUGGUGGCCGAGACUCUCCGUCUGGGUGACGUGCAGUGAUGGCUGUCCUUUCUGAUCCAAGCUUCUCACUGGAGCGGCAGCUCUGCGAAGCAAGCACAGAGAGUGUGAACACUGUGCAUUGAGCAACAUGAUGUACCUUUCAGGAAUACCUAAUUUAAGAUUAGUUUUACUCCACCCUGGCUGGUGUGGCUCAGUGGAUUGCAUUGCUGUCCUGUGAACUGAAAGGCUGCCGGAUUGAUUUCCAGUCAGGGCACCUGCCUGGGUUGCAGGCCAGGUCCCCAAGUGGGGCAUGCACGAGGCAACUGAUGGACCUUUCUCUCCCUCUCUUUUUCCCUCCCUUCCCCUUUCCAUAAAAAAUAAAAAAUAAA
Long non-coding RNA from Artibeus jamaicensis (Jamaican fruit-eating bat), 795 nucleotides. RefSeq lists it as uncharacterized. The record is from RefSeq and is a predicted model, not a curated record. The transcript is spliced from 3 exons. NCBI's taxonomy places the organism in Eukaryota, Metazoa, Chordata, Mammalia, Chiroptera, Phyllostomidae.